GAAUGAAUUAACGGCGAAAGCAGCUUUUUAUCAACAGAAGAAGGAUCCAUAGGACCAGUCCACCAGCUAAUGAAAUUGCCUACGACGAUAACGAUUAACGUUAACUUACUUCGGACGAUCAAACUGUUUCAGGAAACUUUCGGAGAUAUUGCCUGGGCAAUGAGAAAGGGGGACUGGAAGUUUCUUAGGAACCAGCAACCCAGCACCGAUAGACCAAUUUGCACCUAAGCUCGCCCAGCCAGCGAUCACGAAUCCUACGAUAGCACCCAUAAACGCACCCUAUUCGACGGAACAAAACUAAAACUCCUCCUAGUUUCUCGACCAGAAAUAGCAAACCCAGAGCUAUGCAACCAAGCAAGACAACCAGACAUUUUACAAAGAGAUGGGAACAUCGGUCGGUCAGUUUCAAGCCGAAGCAACCCUUCACGAAAUCUUCCAGGACCACUACGGCCGUUGAAUUAAGGCCUACAGACAGG
This 476-nucleotide unclassified non-coding RNA is filed under the name Bombus terrestris (buff-tailed bumblebee). RNAcentral describes it as "misc RNA ENSBTSG00005022495.1". The record is from RNAcentral. Lineage: Eukaryota; Metazoa; Arthropoda; Insecta; Hymenoptera; Apidae.